Molecule: ribosomal RNA, 497 nt
Filed under: uncultured bacterium
Lineage: Bacteria
Description: partial 16S ribosomal RNA
Rfam family: Bacterial small subunit ribosomal RNA
Source: RNAcentral
GAUGAACGCUGGCGGCGUGCCUAAUACAUGCAAGUCGAGCGAACGGACGAGAAGCUUGCUUCUCUGAUGUUAGCGGCGGACGGGUGAGUAACACGUGGAUAACCUACCUAUAAGACUGGGAUAACUUCGGGAAACCGUAGCUAAUACCGGAUAAUAUUUUGAACCGCAUGGUUCAAAAGUGAAAGACGUUCUUUCUGUCACUUAUAGAUGGAUCCGCGCUGCAUUAGCUAGUUGGUAAGGUAACGGCUUACCAAGGCAACGAUGCAUAGCCGACCUGAGAGGGAGAUCGGCGAGACUGGAAGUGAGACACGGUACAGACACCUACGGGAGGAAGCAGAAGGGAAUCUUCCGCAAUGGGCGAAAGCAUGACGGAGCAACGCCGCGUGAGGGAUGAAGGACUUCGGAUCGUAAAACUCUGUUAUUAGGGAAGAACAUAUGUGUAAGUAACUGUGCACAUAAUGACGGUACCUAAUCAGAAAGCCACGGCUAACUACGUG